GAAGUGUAAGGUGUUAUUAAAUCCAAACAUUCUCGCAAGUACUGUACGUCUCACAGUGAAACUACCUUCUUUGAAUUUGAAAUUCAGUGAUGCCAAGAUUAAGGUCUAUGUGGCACUUGAUGAGCGGCGAACGCCAUGGAUUACGACCUGUUUGAUUCGAAGCGGGUGCUUUCACUGUGUACGUUACAGCACUAGCUUCUUCUGAUUGCAUUAGCAUCUUUCACUUC
Molecule: non-coding RNA, 227 nt
Organism: Marchantia polymorpha subsp. ruderalis
Lineage: Eukaryota; Viridiplantae; Streptophyta; Marchantiopsida; Marchantiales; Marchantiaceae
Source: the annotation of a GenBank genome assembly